This 347-nucleotide ribosomal RNA is filed under the name uncultured bacterium. RNAcentral's name for it is "bacterial SSU rRNA". It matches the Rfam family "Bacterial small subunit ribosomal RNA", at positions 28 to 385 of the family's 1533-position model. The record is from RNAcentral.
GACGAACGCUGGCGGCGUGCCUAACACAUGCAAGUCGAACGGAGCACUUCGGUGCUUAGUGGCGAACGGGUGAGUAACGCGUGAAGAACCUGCCUUUCAGUGGGGGACGAACAGUUGGAACGACUGCUAAUACCGCAUAAUGUUAUUUGGGGUCGAUCCUCGAAUAACCAAGAUUUAUUGCUGAAAGAUGGCUUCGCGUCUGAUUAGCUAGAUGGCGGGGUAACGGCCACCAUGGCGACGAUCAGUAGCCGGUCUGAGAGGAUGAACGGCCACAUUGGGACUGAGAUACGGCCCAGACUCCUACGGGAGGCAGCAGUGGGGAAUAUUGGGCAAUGGGCGAAAGCCUG